Molecule: ribosomal RNA, 2378 nt
Filed under: Providencia rettgeri
Lineage: Bacteria; Pseudomonadati; Pseudomonadota; Gammaproteobacteria; Enterobacterales; Morganellaceae
Description: partial 23S ribosomal RNA
Rfam family: Bacterial large subunit ribosomal RNA
Source: RNAcentral
GGGUGACUGCGUACCUUUUGUAUAAUGGGUCAGCGACUUAUAUUCUGUAGCAAGGUUAACCGUAUAGGGGAGCCGUAGGGAAACCGAGUCUUAACUGGGCGAAUAAGUUGCAGGGUAUAGACCCGAAACCCGGUGAUCUAGCCAUGGGCAGGUUGAAGGUUGGGUAACACUAACUGGAGGACCGAACCGACUAAUGUUGAAAAAUUAGCGGAUGACUUGUGGCUGGGGGUGAAAGGCCAAUCAAACCGGGAGAUAGCUGGUUCUCCCCGAAAGCUAUUUAGGUAGCGCCUCGUGAACUCAUCUUCGGGGGUAGAGCACUGUUUCGACUAGGGGGUCAUCCCGACUUACCAACUCGAUGCAAACUACGAAUACCGAAGAAUGUUAUCACGGGAGACACACGGCGGGUGCUAACGUUCGUCGUGAAGAGGGAAACAACCCAGACCGCCAGCUAAGGUCCCAAAGUCAUAGUUAAGUGGGAAACGAAGUGGGAAGGCUCAGACAGCCAGGAUGUUGGCUUAGAAGCAGCCAUCAUUUAAAGAAAGCGUAAUAGCUCACUGGUCGAGUCGGCCUGCGCGGAAGAUGUAACGGGGCUAAACUAUGCACCGAAGCUGCGGCAGCGAUAUGUAAAUAUUGUUGGGUAGGGGAGCGUUCUGUAAGCCUGUGAAGGUGUGCUGUGAGGCAUGCUGGAGGUAUCAGAAGUGCGAAUGCUGACAUAAGUAACGAUAAUGCGGGUGAAAAACCCGCACGCCGGAAGACCAAGGGUUCCUGUCCAACGUUAAUCGGGGCAGGGUGAGUCGACCCCUAAGGCGAGGCAGAAAUGCGUAGUCGAUGGGAAACGGGUUAAUAUUCCCGUACUGGUGAUAAUUGCGAUGGGGGGACGGAGAAGGCUAGGCUAUCCGGGCGACGGUUGUCCCGGUUUAAGGAUGUAGGCAGGUGAAUUAGGCAAAUCCGGUUCACUACAUGCUGAGGUCCGAUGACGAGUCACUACGGUGAUGAAGUAGCUCAUGCCCCGCUUCCAGGAAAAGCCUCUAAGCUCUAGAUUAUCAUUAAUCGUACCCCAAACCGACACAGGUGGUCAGGUAGAGAAUACUCAGGCGCUUGAGAGAACUCGGGUGAAGGAACUAGGCAAAAUGGUGCCGUAACUUCGGGAGAAGGCACGCUGGCAUUAGGUGAAGUGAUUUACUCAUGGAGCUGAAGCCAGUCGCAGAUACCAGCUGGCUGCAACUGUUUAUUAAAAACACAGCACUGUGCAAACACGAAAGUGGACGUAUACGGUGUGACGCCUGCCCGGUGCUGGAAGGUUAAUUGAUGGGGUUAUCCGUAAGGAGAAGCUCUUGAUCGAAGCCCCAGUAAACGGCGGCCGUAACUAUAACGGUCCUAAGGUAGCGAAAUUCCUUGUCGGGUAAGUUCCGACCUGCACGAAUGGCGUAAUGAUGGCCAGGCUGUCUCCACCCGAGACUCAGUGAAAUUGAACUCGCUGUGAAGAUGCAGUGUACCCGCGGCAAGACGGAAAGACCCCGUGAACCUUUACUAUAGCUUGACACUGAACAUUGAGCCUUGAUGUGUAGGAUAGGUGGGAGGCUUUGAAGCGUGGACGCCAGUCUGCGUGGAGCCAACCUUGAAAUACCACCCUUUAAUGUUUGAUGUUCUAACGUUGCCCCAUUAUCUGGGGUGCGGACAGUGUCUGGUGGGUAGUUUGACUGGGGCGGUCUCCUCCCAAAGAGUAACGGAGGAGCACGAAGGUUGGCUAAGCAUGGUCGGACAUCAUGCGGUUAGUGCAAAGGCAUAAGCCAGCUUGACUGCGAGAGUGACGGCUCGAGCAGGUACGAAAGUAGGUCUUAGUGAUCCGGUGGUUCUGAAUGGAAGGGCCAUCGCUCAACGGAUAAAAGGUACUCCGGGGAUAACAGGCUGAUACCGCCCAAGAGUUCAUAUCGACGGCGGUGUUUGGCACCUCGAUGUCGGCUCAUCACAUCCUGGGGCUGAAGUAGGUCCCAAGGGUACGGCUGUUCGCCGUUUAAAGUGGUACGCGAGCUGGGUUUAGAACGUCGUGAGACAGUUCGGUCCCUAUCUGCCGUGGGCGUUGGAAGAUUGAAAGGGGCUGCUCCUAGUACGAGAGGACCGGAGUGGACGCACCACUGGUGUUCGGGUUGUCAUGCCAAUGGCAUUGCCCGGUAGCUAAGUGCGGAAGAGAUAACCGCUGAAAGCAUCUAAGCGGGAAACUUGCCUUGAGAUGAGUCUUCCCUGACUCUUUAAGAGUCCUAAAGGAACGUUUAAGACUAAGACGUUGAUAGGUUGGGUGUGUAAGCGUAGCGAUACGUUGAGCUAACCAAUACUAAUGAACCGUGAGGCUUAACCUGACAACACCGAAGGUGUUUUAG